This is a long non-coding RNA of Dicentrarchus labrax (European seabass), 309 nucleotides long. RefSeq lists it as uncharacterized. The record is from RefSeq and is a predicted model, not a curated record. The transcript is spliced from 3 exons. Lineage: Eukaryota; Metazoa; Chordata; Actinopteri; Moronidae.
UCCUGCAUGUACACCAAACAUGCUGGCUCUCUGUGCAGAUGGCAACCGAAAACAAUACAGAUUUCGACAGUCAAAGGGGUCAGAGGAGCCAUAUUUUGAUGGCACUUUCAUUGCCAAGGAUUGUGACGUACAUCAUUUUGUUGAGGACGUCCAGAGCAAAAUGAAAAGUACUGCUGGCAGAGGAAUCUGUGGAGCCAGUAAGUGGUCUGCUGCACGAGAGACUGCCCGAAGAGCAAGCAAGCUAGAUGAAGAGGGCCUUGAAGUGGUUGUUUGCAGACAUGGAGUGCUGCUCAAGGCUCUCAAAAUGUA